UAGAGUGUUCAAGACCAAGAAAAACGAAAUGGCAAAAAAAAAAAAGAAGAAGAAGAGAAGAGAAGAGAAAUUAAGGUAGAAAGAAGGAAAGUGCUACGGUUUUGGGAGGACAAAAAGCAUCCCAAAACGUUACCAAACAGCCAAUAAGUUUCAGCUGCGCUAAAGGAAAUUCCGAGGCAAGUUUUGGCGAGUUUUGGUGAAUUUCGGGAAAGGUUCAAGAGGCGACGAGGCGAGCAUAGUUAAGAGUAAUCCGUAAGAGGUACGUAAAGCGAACCUUUCUUUCUUUUGGCAUGUCUUUGUCAUAAGUACGUAAAGCUUAUACUUUCUCUUCUUUUGGCAUGUAUUUGUUAUAAGUAUGUAAAACCUUUCUUUCUUUUGGCAUGUUUUUGACAUAAGUAUGUAAAGCAUAUUCUUUCGAUUUUCAUGUUUUGACAUAAGUAUGUAAAGCUAAUCUUUGUUUUGGUAUGGUAUUUAUGAAACAAAAUUAUGACUUUUAUAUAAUUUCAAAGAGGUUCCUAUUCCUAGAGCCAUUAGGAUGGCCAAUUCCUUGAUUUCCAAAAGGUAUUUUAUUAUGCUUCGAUACGUCUAUAUGAUUCCAGAAGAUUUAUUCUGAUAUAAUCCAGGGUAACUUUCGAAAGGUACUUGACAUGAGUCUCGUCUUGAUUUUUAAAUGAUAGCUCAUUCUGAUUAUUCCAUUGAGUCUUAAAUAUGAUUUAAAUUGCAUAUAGUUUCUCACUACUCCACUCGUGGAUGCCUCAAUGCUUCCUUCACUGAGCUUGGGCCAGGAUAUGUUAUCGUGCAUACUUCUCUGCAUUGUUAGUCGUGUCCCAACGUGAGGGGGUAGGUAUGACAUGUACAUGGGGUGGUGUAUGUUAUGCCACGGAGUUAUGCUGUGCCAUGUACACAUAUGCUUAUGAUAUGAUAUGAUUUGAUAUGGCCAUCUGAUAUGAUAUGAUAUGAUUUGUUAUGGAGAUAUUCCCUAUUCUGGUGUUAUGCUGUGCUGUGGCGCCAAUGACAGGAGGGCGACCACAUUUGUUCACCGAGUUCCAUAAUGGGGCCGGAUAUGGCAUAUGUUUUUCUGCAUACAUUAUCUGAGGUUUUGAUCAGCAUUUGAUAUCUCCAGACAUUUUGCUCAGUUUUGUACAUUCUAUUGCGGUAAUGACUUUACUUAUUACAACCCAUUAUAUGUGGUUUGAUAAGCAUUUGAUAUUUUUGGAUAUUUUGCUCAUUUUUGCACAUUCUGCUCUGGUAACGACUUUACUGAUUUCAGUCCAGGCUUUACAUACUCAGUACAUUUUCCGUACUGACCCCCUUUCUUCAGGAGCUGCGUUACAUACCCGCAGGUACAGACAAUUGGUUUGCUGAUCCGCUUGCUUAGGACAUCCACCAUGUUGGUAGACAGUGCUCCUUUGUUUGGAGCCCUAUUUUGGUACUGACACUUUCUGUUGUAUAUAUAUAUACGUUGUUCAGGGGUACGGCGGGGCCCUGUCCCGUCAUAUGACUAGGAUAUCAUUCCGUAGAGGUCUGUAGACAUGAGAUGUGGGUUUUAUAUAUAUGUU
Molecule: long non-coding RNA, 1559 nt
Organism: Solanum dulcamara
Lineage: Eukaryota; Viridiplantae; Streptophyta; Magnoliopsida; Solanales; Solanaceae
Exons: 3
Source: RefSeq, a predicted model, not a curated record